RNAcentral lists this ribosomal RNA (288 nucleotides) under uncultured bacterium. RNAcentral's name for it is "partial 16S ribosomal RNA". It matches the Rfam family "Bacterial small subunit ribosomal RNA", at positions 336 to 616 of the family's 1533-position model. The record is from RNAcentral.
UUCCUACGGGGCGCAGCAGUAGGGAAUCUUCCACAAUGGACGAAAGUCUGAUGGAGCAACGCCGCGUGAGUGAAGAAGGGUUUCGGCUCAUAAAGCUCUGUUGGUAGUGAAGAAAGAUAGAGGUAGUAACUGGCCUUUAUUUGACGGUAAUUACUUAGAAAGUCACGGCUAACUACGUGCCAGCAGCCGCGGUAAUACGUAGGUGGCAAGCGUUGUCCGGAUUUAUUGGGCGUAAAGCGAGUGCAGGCGGUUCAAUAAGUCCGAUGUGAAAGCCUUCGGCUCAACCGG